UACGGAGGGUGCAAGCGUUAAUCGGAAUUACUGGGCGUAAAGCGUGCGUAGGCGGUUCGUUAAGUCUGUUGUGAAAGCCCCGGGCUCAACCUGGGAAUGGCAAUGGAUACUGGCGAGCUAGAGUGUGUCAGAGGAUGGUGGAAUUCCCGGUGUAGCGGUGAAAUGCGUAGAGAUCGGGAGGAACAUCAGUGGCGAAGGCGCCAUCUGGGACAACACUGACGCUGAGGCACGAAAGCGUGGGAGCGAACAGGAUAGAACCUUG
RNAcentral lists this ribosomal RNA (262 nucleotides) under uncultured bacterium. RNAcentral's name for it is "partial 16S ribosomal RNA". It matches the Rfam family "Bacterial small subunit ribosomal RNA", at positions 524 to 789 of the family's 1533-position model. The record is from RNAcentral.